Molecule: unclassified non-coding RNA, 946 nt
Filed under: Bombus terrestris (buff-tailed bumblebee)
Lineage: Eukaryota; Metazoa; Arthropoda; Insecta; Hymenoptera; Apidae
Description: misc RNA ENSBTSG00005022168.1
Source: RNAcentral
AAAAUAGAUUGAUUUAAAUUUGAAACUUUUACUUAACGCAAGAGAAAAAGCUAAGAAAAGUACUAAGUAAAAAAGAUACUAAGAAUAAUUGUUUAAACAACGUUUUCUAUCCCGAAACUGUACAAACGAAUAACUUUUACAAUCCAAAAGAUGAUCAUUAUGAAUAUCCGAAUUACACAGAACAAAGAGUUUCCUUUCUCAAAAAAAAAAAAAAAAAAAAAAAAUCAAAUUUACGGCAGCCUAUCCAAACACUGGAGCGUAGCAUUCAAAGUACGGUGGGAAAGGAAGCGAGACAAACGGAUCCACGAAACAUCCAUCAACGCGGAAGAAUCCCAGAGCGUGUGAAAGGGGUUGUAAAAAUCUGCAUGGCCGAGUUUAAUAUCGAGGAACAAACGAUGAUUCCGGUGAGCUGACAAACUCUCUCAUCCCCUUCUUCUCCCCAAUUCCUUUUCUCGAUUGUACUCUUCAUUCUCCCGGCGGAAAAUUUCUUUUCUGCUUACGACUGACUGAUACCUCUCUUUCAUCGGUAGAUAGAAGACUAGAAAAUAAGGCGCAAGGUGUACGUGGAUUCUAUCAGUGAGAAUCAUAUCCACCUGUGCCCAGUGGUCAUUAUCCUGUCUUCGUUUCUUCCAUUUCCUCUUUCCUUCCAUCAUUCUUUUCUUCUUCUUCUUCCGUUCACCAGCAACGUAACAGGGUAAAGAGUGGAACAAAAAGAAAAAAAAGAAAAGAAAAGAGAUCCGAGGGAUGGAAGGAGAGAAUAUUAAAAACUUUUUCCAUAAAGCGUCUUUGCGAGGCGAGACGCCGUUAGAGCGAGCAUGAAAGCUUUGGUUCCUUGCAGUUUCAAGCGUAUCCUCGCCGGUUUUUCCGAAUUAGUUCAGACGGUUUUCCGCGUUGCGCCUCCUAUUUUUCUCGGCUUUUUUUCUUCGCCACUUGGGCCGCGGGUGAA